GUGGUUUUGGGAUUCAUCCUCGUCCGAACCGAUAUACUUGCAAAAUGCCGUCUGUAUAGCCCUAAAUAGGUAGCACACUGACAGUACCAGUGAAGGAAAAUAUCCGCUCGUGCGUGUCAGUUGGGUGGUCUGUUGAUGGUCAUAACCCUUAUGAUCUGUAGCAGGAGAUUAGCGACCAGGAGAUUAGUGAUGUGAUGUCAACGUUCUGGAGAAUUAAGGUCAUUGACUCAUUGCGUUAUUUUCACCAUUUCCUCUUUUUGUUUCGAUAGAUUUGGGGUUAGAACAAUGGAAUUAAUGUUAAUUUAUAUGAUUUAUGGCUUUAGGUGUUUGAUGGUAUGUAGACUAAGCAUUAAUUUUGAUUUGCGGUGCAUUUUCAUUUGACCAAUUGUAUUGGAUGUUGAGAUUAUUGAAUUGGAUCACAAGUAGUUUAUAUGGAGGUUUGUUAGGGUGAAAUUUUUGAAAAAACCGGAAUCUAAUUGAGGUUAAGCUUCUGAUAUGUGACCAUAUUUUAAAAGUAAAAGGAAAAGAGAAAUAAGAGAGAAAACCCGCAUCAAGGGGGGUGGAACACCUCCAAUGAUUCACUUCGAGGAGAAUCAAACCUCCAUUUAAUAAAGCCUCAGCUUUGUUUCAUAAAAAUCUGAUUCCCAUUCCGAGAGAUUUGAUUACAUGUAUAAAGCUAAUACAAAUAAAGACCCACUACACUUAAUUGCCUACUAAUUAGGAUAUGCUCACUACUCCACCACUUCAAUUUAGGAAACCACUACUAUCACUACUCUAACAAAACUAGGACUAUUUUAACUUGUAAUUUAAAUAAAUUACAUAUUUAAAAAGUAAUAACAAUUUAGAAAUUCUAAUAAAUUUAGGCACAUAACAGCUUCAUGAUUAGGGAUUUGUUUUUGCCUACAUUGUAUUUGCGGAUAUUGUUGUCUGUCUUUGUUAAAAAUCAAUCUGUGCAAUUUGAUAAUUGAGGCUAGUGCAUUUUCUUCGUAGCUGUCAUAUGUUACUUAAGGGUCAUGUUGUGAUUGGUAUUUGUUUCUAACUGAUUAGGUCACAAAAGAUUGAUGUUCAAGGGUGCAUAUAUAUUGUGUAAAAGAUAGUCCUUUGGUGAUUAAAGAAUUGAUACUAACAAUCAAUUCAAAACGAUUUGUAUGAUUGUAGUUAGCUAUAAUCACUAGGCCCACCCAUAUAUGGUGGAUCAUCAUCUAAUUAUAUUUUGACUCAUCAUUUGGUAAAUUAUUUUUUGUGAGAUUUUUUUGUAUCUAUAGCAAUAUUUUUGUUUAAAUUGUAGCACAAUGACCCUCGGGCUUUUAGGAAAGCUCAUUCGAGAUUACUGUUGGUAGUUGUGUUAGCGAAUUGUUAUUUGGUAGGUGUGAUGAUUAUAAUCUAUGACUAGAAGAACUUAUUUAAUGUGAUGUUUACUGUAUGACAUCGUUUCACAUACAUGUUAUCAUGUGACUCACACGUGUUAAUGUAUGUGAGAGGACGUCACACAGUGAUCGUCUCACUAAAUAAUUUUCUUAUGUCCAGAUAAAUCAUAUUUUAAUAGUUGGUAGGUUUGACAUAUUUUGGUAUAUAAUCUUUGAGUAGAAGAACUUAUUUGAUGUGACAGUUAUUGUGUGACAUUGUCUCACUUAUUGCACGUGUUAAUGUAUGUGAGAAGGCGUCACACAAUGAUUAUCUCACUAAAUAAUUUUUUCUUAUGAUAUCUUAUGUAUCAUAUUUUUUGUUGUAGACUAGGAUAUAUGGGUGUUCCGCCCUUGUGGAUUGUAAGCAAAGAAGAAGUCAAUAUACUUGUUUACCUUAUUAGUAGAAAUCAAUUUAAUAAUUUAUCAGUUCCUAUAUUAUUGUCCUCAUUUCUUUGGGGUGCCAAAAGAGUAUUGUCUACUUUGACAGUUCAAACAUUAAUUGAUACUACUUUUCAAGUUUACCCUUUGUUGAUAUAAUAAGUUACCUUAGCAUCCAUCAAUAAUGAGGGUAAAACUUGAAAGUAAUAAUUUGUUUUGACAAAUUUUAAGUAAUAAAAAUAGGGAAUUGAUUAACAGGUCAAUAAAGCUGGGUACAUGCAAUUUUUAUUUGUUUGACAAUUUUGCCUUUGUCCUUCAUUAGAUAGAUUCAUGCCUAUGCCUAUCUCAAGUCGGAGAAAGUAUAAUCACUCUCUUCCUGGUACUUAGGAGUUUCUGUCUAAAUUAAGAAUUUUUUAUUAGGUAUUGAACAACGGGAAAAGGAGUUUCAAUUAAGGGAGUCUCUCCUUCCAACUACCCCAAUUUCAUUAAUAUUCCAUCUCCUUCUCUUAAUUUGUCAACUUCACAGUCGUUCAAUCAAAUUUUUUAUUUAUUUAUUUUGUUCGCUGCACUAGUUGUUUGUGAUUUUGAUUCACUGGUUUUGCUUGAUUUAGUUUAUUUAAAAGGGGCUUUCGUUCUUUGCUGAUGUGUUAUUUUGCCCCUCUUGCUCUGGCAUUCAUUGAAUGUUCUGGCAUGGCCUUUCUCCAUAAAAUCAAUUUUCUAAACAACCCAUGUGAGGAAUCUUGCAAUCUCAGCUCGAAUUUCUAAUCAUACUUUUUUUUAUUUACUUUUUAUCAACAAUCAUACCAUAUUAGAAUUCUUUCAUUUUAUUCUAAGUUCCCCUGCAAACAUCAAAUACCUAGUUGGUAGUUGAUAGAUUUCAAUUUUUUUGAGGUUUGAUUUCUUUAAUGUAUUGGGCUGAUUUUUGGUUGUGGUGUUUCAAUUGCUCACACUUCACAGUGGGUAGUCGGAACACUUCACACUGGAUAGUCGGAGAAGUAAUUUGGCGUCAAUGAAGGAGAUCAAGGAGGAAGAAAAGACAAGGGCAAAAUUGUCAAAGAAAUAAAAAUUGCCCUGUGCCCAUCUUUAUUCCUGCUAUUAUCAAUUCCCUAAAACUAUCACCAAUACCACUGCAGUCGAUUAAUUCUCCUACAAUUGUGUGUAAUGUUCAAGAGAAUGGUAUUUUAAAGGGGGAUUUAAUUAGUAGUAUAUACCUUGAAACUGAAGACUAAGAUGACUCUUUUAUUGAGUCUUAGUGCCCCUGAACUGAUUUAGCUUUCAAUUAAUGUUUCAG
This 3075-nucleotide long non-coding RNA is filed under the name Panax ginseng (ginseng). RNAcentral's name for it is "long non-coding RNA (PGIN_LNC016229)". Lineage: Eukaryota; Viridiplantae; Streptophyta; Magnoliopsida; Apiales; Araliaceae. The record is from RNAcentral.